UACAGAGGGUGCGAGCGUUAAUCGGAAUUACUGGGCGUAAAGCGUGCGUAGACGGUUAUUUAAGUCGGGUGUGAAAGCCCCGGGCUCAACCUGGGAAUUGCAUUCGAGACUGAAUAGCUAGGGUACGGUAGAGGGAAGCGGAAUUUCCGGUGUAGCGGUGAAAUGCGUAGAUAUCGAGAGGAACACCAGUGGCGAAGGCGGCUCACUGGGCUCCACCUGACGCUGAGGCGCGAAAGCGUGGGGAGCGAACCGG
RNAcentral lists this ribosomal RNA (253 nucleotides) under uncultured bacterium. Its description in RNAcentral is "partial 16S ribosomal RNA". It matches the Rfam family "Bacterial small subunit ribosomal RNA", at positions 524 to 776 of the family's 1533-position model. The record is from RNAcentral.